This 27-nucleotide non-coding RNA is filed under the name Homo sapiens (human). Lineage: Eukaryota; Metazoa; Chordata; Mammalia; Primates; Hominidae. The record is from RNAcentral.
UCCAAGAGGGGCACCGUGGGUGCUGGU